UGCCCCCACCAAUGGACAAAGAGACACCUGGUUGGUGGCGGCAUUCUUACUGUUAGUCAGGGGCAGAGCAGUGGCAGUCCUAUGUUCAUCUUAGCUUGAUGCCUGGCUUGGUGGCCAAAGCUGUUUCAUGCCUAGAACUCAUAA
This is a small nucleolar RNA of Mastomys coucha (southern multimammate mouse), 144 nucleotides long. RefSeq annotates it as small nucleolar RNA SNORA48. Lineage: Eukaryota; Metazoa; Chordata; Mammalia; Rodentia; Muridae. The record is from RefSeq and is a predicted model, not a curated record. The transcript has a single exon.